RNAcentral lists this ribosomal RNA (544 nucleotides) under uncultured Methanobacteriales archaeon. RNAcentral's name for it is "bacterial SSU rRNA". It matches the Rfam family "Archaeal small subunit ribosomal RNA", at positions 339 to 881 of the family's 1478-position model. The record is from RNAcentral. Lineage: Archaea; Methanobacteriati; Methanobacteriota; Methanobacteria; Methanobacteriales.
GCGCGAAACCUCCGCAAUGUGAGAAAUCGCGACGGGGGGAUCCCAAGUGCCAUUCUUAACGGGAUGGCUUUUCAUUAGUGUAAAGAGCUUUUGGAAUAAGAGCUGGGCAAGACCGGUGCCAGCCGCCGCGGUAACACCGGCAGCUCUAGUGGUAGCAGUUUUUAUUGGGCCUAAAGCGUCCGUAGCCGGUUUAAUAAGUCUCUGGUGAAAUCCUGCAGCUUAACUGUGGGAAUUGCUGGAGAUACUAUUAGACUUGAGAUCGGGAGAGGUUAGAGGUACUCCCAGGGUAGAGGUGAAAUUCUGUAAUCCUGGGAGGACCGCCUGUUGCGAAGGCGUCUGACUGGAACGAUUCUGACGGUGAGGGACGAAAAGCUAGGGGGCGCGAACCGGAUUAGAUACCCGGGUAGUCCUAGCUGUAAACGAUGCGGACUUGGUGUUGGGGUCCUUUGAGGGCACCCAGUGCCGGAGAGAAGUUGUUAAGCCUGCUGCUUGGGGAGUACGUCCGCAAGGAUGAAACUUAAAGGAAUUGGGCGGGGGAGCAACC